AGGACGAACGCUGGCGGCACGCUUAACACAUGCAAGUCGAACGGAGAUAAUUGAGUUACUUAGAUUAUCUAGUGGCGGACGGGUGAGUAACACGUGAGCAACCUACCGUUUGAGAGAGGGAUAGCUUCUGGAAACGGAUGGUAAUACCUCAUAACGUAUCGGGACCGCAUGAUUCUGAAUACCAAAGAUUUAUCACUCAAAGGAUGGGCUCGCGUCUGAUUAGCUAGAUGGUGAGGUAACGGCUCACCCAUGGCGACGAUCAGUAGCCGGACUGAGAGGUUGAACGGCCACAUUGGGACUGAGACACGGCCCAGACUCCUACGGGAGGCAGCAGUGGGGAAUAUUGCACAAUGGGGGAAACCCUGAUGCAGCGAUGCCGCGUGGAGGAAGAAGGUUUUCGGAUUGUAAACUCCUGUCUUAAAGGACGAUAAUGACGGUACUUUAGGAGGAAGCUCCGGCUAACUACGUGCCAGCCGCCGC
This 480-nucleotide ribosomal RNA is filed under the name uncultured bacterium. Its description in RNAcentral is "bacterial SSU rRNA". It matches the Rfam family "Bacterial small subunit ribosomal RNA", at positions 26 to 518 of the family's 1533-position model. The record is from RNAcentral.